GACGAACGCUGGCGGCGUGCCUAAUACAUGCAAGUUGAGCGCUGAAGGUUGGUACUUGUACCAACUGGAUGAGCAGCGAACGGGUGAGUAACGCGUGGGGAAUCUGCCUUUGAGCGGGGGACAACAUUUGGAAACGAAUGCUAAUACCGCAUAAAAACUUUAAACACAAGUUUUAAGUUUGAAAGAUGCAAUUGCAUCACUCAAAGAUGAUCCCGCGUUGUAUUAGCUAGUUGGUGAGGUAAAGGCCCACCAAGGCGAUGAUACAUAGCCGACCUGAGAGGGUGGUCGGCCACAUUGGGACUGAGACACGGCCCAAACUCCUACGGGAGGCAGCAGUAGGGAAUCUUCGGCAAUGGACGAAAGUCUGACCGAGCAACGCCGCGUGAGUGAAGAAGGUUUUCGGAUCGUAAAACUCUGUUGGUAGAGAAGAACGUUGGUGAGAGUGGAAAGCUCAUCAAGUGACGGUAACUACACAGAAAGGGACGGCUAACUACGUG
RNAcentral lists this ribosomal RNA (497 nucleotides) under uncultured bacterium. RNAcentral's name for it is "partial 16S ribosomal RNA". It matches the Rfam family "Bacterial small subunit ribosomal RNA", at positions 28 to 507 of the family's 1533-position model. The record is from RNAcentral.